This 835-nucleotide ribosomal RNA is filed under the name uncultured bacterium. RNAcentral describes it as "bacterial SSU rRNA". It matches the Rfam family "Bacterial small subunit ribosomal RNA", at positions 35 to 916 of the family's 1533-position model. The record is from RNAcentral.
GUCUUGCGGAUGCUACACAUGCAGUCGAACGGAAUCUUCGGAUUUAGUGGCGGACGGGUGAGUAACGCGUGAGAAUCUGCCUUCAGGAUGGGGACAACAGUUGGAAACGACUGCUAAUACCCGAUAUGACGAAAGUUGAAAGAUUUAUCGCCUGGAGAUGAGCUCGCGUCAGAUUAGCUAGAUGGUGUGGUAACGGCGCACCAUGGCGACGAUCUGUAGCUGGUCUGAGAGGAUGAGCAGCCACACUGGGACUGAGACACGGCCCAGACUCCUACGGGAGGCAGCAGUGGGGAAUUUUCCGCAAUGGGCGCAAGCCUGACGGAGCAAUACCGCGUGAGGGAGGAAGGCUCUUGGGUCGUAAACCUCUUUUCUCAGGGAAGAACAAAAUGACGGUACCUGAGGAAUCAGCAUCGGCUAACUCCGUGCCAGCAGCCGCGGUAAUACGGAGGAUGCAAGCGUUAUCCGGAAUGAUUGGGCGUAAAGCGUCCGUAGGUGGUCAUGUAAGUCUGUGGUUAAAGCGUGUAGCUCAACUACAUAACGGCCAUGGAAACUACAUAACUUGAGUAAAGUAGGGGUAGAGGGAAUUCCCAGUGUAGCGGUGAAAUGCGUAGAGAUUGGGAAGAACACCGGUGGCGAAAGCGCUCUACUGGACUUAAACUGACACUGAGGGACGAAAGCUAGGGGAGCGAAAGGGAUUAGAUACCCCUGUAGUCCUAGCCGUAAACGAUGGAUACUAGGUGUUGCCCGUAUCGACCCGGGCAGUGCCGUAGCUAACGCGUUAAGUAUCCCGCCUGGGGAGUACGCACGCAAGUGUGAAACUCAAAGGAAUUGACGG